CCUACGGGGGGCAGCAGUGGGGAAUAUUGGACAAUGGGGGCAACCCUGAUCCAGCCAUGCCGCGUGUGUGAAGAAGGCCCUCGGGUGGUAAAGCACUUUCAGUGAGGAAGAACGCCUGGUGGUUAAUACCCAUCAGGAAAGACAUCACUCACAGAAGAAGCACCGGCUAACUCCGUGCCAGCAGCCGCGGUAAUACGGAGGGUGCGAGCGUUAAUCGGAAUUACUGGGCGUAAAGCGCGCGUAGGUGGCUUGAUAAGCCGGUUGUGAAAGCCCCGGGCUCAACCUGGGAACGGCAUCCGGAACUGUCAAGCUAGAGUGCAGGAGAGGAAGGUAGAAUUCCCGGUGUAGCGGUGAAAUGCGUAGAGAUCGGGAGGAAUACCAGUGGCGAAGGCGGCCUUCUGGACUGACACUGACACUGAGGUGCGAAAGCGUGGGUAGCAAACAGGAUUAGAUACCCUAGUAGUC
Molecule: ribosomal RNA, 465 nt
Filed under: Vreelandella stevensii
Lineage: Bacteria; Pseudomonadati; Pseudomonadota; Gammaproteobacteria; Oceanospirillales; Halomonadaceae
Description: partial 16S ribosomal RNA
Rfam family: Bacterial small subunit ribosomal RNA
Source: RNAcentral